This 949-nucleotide ribosomal RNA is filed under the name Listeria monocytogenes. RNAcentral's name for it is "partial 23S ribosomal RNA". It matches the Rfam family "Bacterial large subunit ribosomal RNA", at positions 517 to 1466 of the family's 2925-position model. Lineage: Bacteria; Bacillati; Bacillota; Bacilli; Caryophanales; Listeriaceae. The record is from RNAcentral.
AAAAGCACCCCGGAAGGGGAGUGAAACAGUUCCUGAAACCGUGUGCCUACAAGUAGUUAGAGCCCGUUAAUGGGUGAUAGCGUGCCUUUUGUAGAAUGAACCGGCGAGUUACGAUUUGUUGCAAGGUUAAGCGGAAAAAGCGGAGCCGUAGCGAAAGCGAGUCUGAAUAGGGCGCAUAAGUAACAGGUCGUAGACCCGAAACCAGGUGAUCUACCCAUGUCCAGGAUGAAGGUAAGGUAAUACUUACUGGAGGUCCGAACCCACGCACGUUGAAAAGUGCGGGGAUGAGGUGUGGGUAGCGGAGAAAUUCCAAUCGAACUUGGAGAUAGCUGGUUCUCUCCGAAAUAGCUUUAGGGCUAGCCUCGAGGUAAAGAGUCAUGGAGGUAGAGCACUGUUUGGACUAGGGGCCCUUCUCGGGUUACCGAAUUCAGAUAAACUCCGAAUGCCAUGUACUUAUACUCGGGAGUCAGACUGCGAGUGAUAAGAUCCGUAGUCGAAAGGGAAACAGCCCAGACCACCAGUUAAGGUCCCCAAAUAUAUGUUAAGUGGAAAAGGAUGUGGGGUUGCUUAGACAACCAGGAUGUUGGCUUAGAAGCAGCCACCAUUGAAAGAGUGCGUAAUAGCUCACUGGUCGAGUGACCCCGCGCCGAAAAUGUACCGGGGCUAAACAUAUUACCGAAACUGUGGAUGAACCUCUUUAGAGGUUCGUGGUAGGAGAGCGUUCUAAGGGCGGUGAAGUCAGACCGGAAGGACUGGUGGAGCGCUUAGAAGUGAGAAUGCCGGUAUGAGUAGCGAAAGAAGGGUGAGAAUCCCUUCCACCGAAUAUCUAAGGUUUCCUGAGGAAGGCUCGUCCGCUCAGGGUUAGUCGGGACCUAAGCCGAGGCCGAUAGGCGUAGGCGAUGGACAACAGGUAGAGAUUCCUGUACCAGUGCUAAUUGUUUAACCGAUG